CGGGAUAUUCAAACUGGCGGAAAGUGAAAACAGUCUGAGUGGGACUUCUUUCAAACCACACGCGGGUCUUCAUUUUAGCACGUAUAAUCGGUAGUUUUGCGCGGUGUUUUUAUGUUACAUGAUUGUUUUUUUUUUUUUGGUAACCAUCUAAAACAUUUUUAACAGUGUAUCAGUUGUAGUGUUUGUCAAACGCGAAUAUAUAACCAGGAGACGGUAGUGUUUUGUUUGGCGACGGAUUUAUAAUUAAAAAUAGAGAGCUGCAAAAUUAUUCACAAUAAUAAUAAUAAUAACUUGCUAUUUCAAGAUCCAAAAGGAAGACAAAAUGGGAGAAUCCGGUGGUCAGCUCCGGUCCGGAUAUGAGAGGUUGACAGCAGAGGAAAUGGAUGAACAACGUGCCCAGAAUGUGGCCUAUCAGUAUCUCUGCCGCUUAGAGGAGGCAAAGAGGUGGAUGGAGGCAUGCCUGAAAGAGGAGCUUCCACCUCCGAUUGAGCUGGAGGAGGCACUGAGGAAUGGAGUUCUGUUGGCAAAGCUGGGCCACUGCUUUGCUCCAAAAGUUGUUCCUUUGAAGAAGAUCUAUGAUGUCAACCAGGAACGUUACAAGGGAAUGGGUCUGCAGUUCCGCCACACUGAUAACAUCAACCACUGGAGGAAUGCUCUAGUGGAGGUUGGACUGCCAGCGAUUUUCUACCCCGAGACUACAGACAUCUAUGAUAAAAAGAACAUGCCACGCACUGUAUAUUGCAUUCAUGCUCUCAGCCUGUACCUUUUCCGUCAGGGUCUGGCUCCUCAAAUCCAUGAUCUAUGUGGCAAAGUCAAGUUCACAGAUGAGGAAAUCAACAAUAUGAAGCUGGAACUGGAUAAAUAUGGAAUCCAGAUGCCUGCUUUCAGCAAGAUUGGGGGAAUUCUAGCUAAUGAGCUGUCAGUGGAUGAGGCUGCUGUGCAUGCAGCGGUGAUCGCCAUUAACGAGGCAGUGGAGCGGGGUUGUGUGGAGGACACGGCACAAUCACUGCGCAAUCCCAACGCCAUGCUCACUAAUCUGCAGGAGCAGCUCAUGGCCAUCUACCAGGAGAUGCUGCGCCAGGCUCGUUCUCACAAAGCAGCCAAGGCUUCCGCUAAAGCAAAUGGCUCCAGAGAGAAGGACAUUUAUGAAGAGUAUCUGACACAAAGUGAAAUUCAAGACAACAUUACUAAAGUUAAUGUGCGUGCUGCUGUAGAGCGAGUGGAUGAGGCAAUAGACUGUGGUGAUGCCCUGGCUCUACUCUCAGCCCUGCAGAACCCAAAUCUCGGCCUUAGAGGGCUGCUUAGAGAUCAUUCUGACUGGUAUCUAGAUCAACUCGCAUCAGACAGAGAACAGAAGGCUCUGGAUCUAGGGUGUGUGGACCCCCUGGAUAUAGAUGAACUCCAGGAAGGUGUCAAUGUGGCCAAUGAGGAAGCUCAGCACUCACGAAUGAUGGUGCAGGCAAUAUCCAAAAUCAAUGAAGCAUUGCGGUGUGGUGAGCCACGUCAGACAGUACGUGCCCUGAUGAACCCUGAUGCCAACCUGCCUGACGUCUACCCUUUUGCUGCUGAGCUUUACCAGAGAGAACUCGCUCCUCUGCAGCAGCAGUGCCCUCAGGGUUACCUGGGGCAGGAGGAGCUGUUUGUGGCUGUAGAAAUGCUGUCAACAGUGGCGUUGGUAAACCAGACUCUGGAGGCUAAAGACAUGGGGGCAUUCUGUGCCACUCUGGUCAGCCCUGCUGCUGGUCUUGCAGACAUUGAUGACAGCUUAAUGCAAAGGUAUUUUGAGGAUCUUUCUGAACUGAAGAGGAAGGCAGGCAGAGUGCUCCUCACCUGGAAUGAACUGCAAAGUGGAGUGAACAGUGUCAACGUGGCGGCUCAGGAAGAACACGACCAGAUCCUGACUAUUGGACUGAUCAACCAGGCUCUCAGUCACAGUGACCCUCAGAAAACACUGGCUGCACUGCUGCUGCUCUCUAGUGGCCUGACAGACGUAGUGCCACAGAAUGGCAAACGCUACCAUGAUGUACUGACCAGCCUCAAGAAACGCAAGGCAGAGAUGAGUCGGGACCCUGGAGCAGAGCUGUGGUUAGCUGAUAUUCAGGAGGGUGUGAGCCUAGCAAACCAGGAUACUCAGAAAGCUCUGAAAAUGUCUCUGGGCCUGGCUGCUGUUAAUCAGGCAGUGAAGGAAGGUAAUGCCGCUCAGACCAUGAGAGUGAUGCGUUUGCCAGAGGUGGCUCUGAAGAGCGUGGUGGCAGAGUGUGCGACUGCGUACCAGACCGAGCUGUCAUCCCUGCUCCGUGCCAAACGCAUGGAGGGUGAUAACAAAAGCCCAUGGAUCAGGACAAAGGCUUUAGAUGGCAACUCUUACUACUUUCACCUGCAAAAGCUGGAGGGUGCCUGGGAGAGACCUCAAGGAUUUGUCCAGAACAGCCUCUUCCUCAGCCAUGAAGAAAUCCAAGCAGUAUGCAGCAGGGUAACUGUGGCUCACAGUCGGGAGGUGCAAUGGAAGGCCAGUGAGCUGUUGGUGAUGCAGCUGCAGGCCCGUGCACGAGGCUUCCUUCUCCGGCAGUCGCUUUCCGAACGCCUGCACUUCCUCAACACUCAGUUACCUGCCAUUAUAACCAUUCAGUGUCACUGGCGGAGGUGUCUGCAGCAGAGGGCCUAUAGGAAAAGACUGGAGUACCUUAAUCGGAACUGGGGAGCAGUGGUCAAAAUCCAAGCGUGGGUGAAGAUGUGGCUUGCUCGUAGCAGGUAUCUGGCUCGUCUGCGCUAUUUCAGAAGAUAUGUUGGUGCCAUCAUAAAGAUCCAGGCUUUCUUCAGAGCCAAUAGGGCACGUGAAGAGUACAGGAUGCUGGUGCACUCCAGCACUCCACCUCUCUCUGUGGUACGCAAGUUUGCCCACCUGUUAGAACUGGGAGAUAACGAUAUUCGCCAGGAGGGGGAGCUACUGCGUAUGCGGGAGGAGGUGGUACGCACCAUCCGCUCCAACCGCCAACUGGAGGCAGAUCUGGACAUCAUGGACCUGAAGAUCGGUUUGUUAGUCCGUAACCGUGUCACGCUCCAGGAGGUGGUGUCGCAUCAUAAAAAACUCACCAAGAAGAAUAAAGAGGAGCUGUCUGACAUGAUGGCCCUGGACAAACACAAAGGUCUCAAGUCUCUGAGCAAAGACAAAAGGGAGAAGUUAGAAGCUUAUCAGCACCUGUUCUACCUGUUGCAGACCCAGCCAUCAUACCUGGCUCAGCUCAUAUUCCUGAUGCCACAGAAUAAGAGCACGCGUUUCCUGGAGACGGUCAUCUUUACUCUCUUUAACUAUGGCUCGGACUGUAGAGAGGCAUAUCUGCUGUUGCAGCUCUUUACUGCUGCCCUCCGCCAUGAAAUCAAACUGAAAGUGGACCAGCCUCAGGAGGUGGUGACUGGGAACCCAACAGUCAUAAAGAUGCUGGUGAGUUUUUAUCGUCAUGCUCGUGGCCAGAACGCUUUGAGGGAGAUUUUGGGGCCAGUGGUGCGUGAGGUUCUGCAGGAUCGCACUCUGAGCAUUCGCAUAGAUCCUUUGGAGAUAUACAAGAGCUGGAUCAACCAGACUGAGAGCCAGACUGGCCACAAGAGCCCCUUGCCCUAUGAGGUGAGCGCAGAGCAGGCACUUAGUCACCCAGAGGUGCAGCAACGAUUAAACAUUGCAAUGACUAACCUGAAGACUCUGACUGACCGUGUGCUGCACGCGAUCACCAGCAACCUGCACAAAUUGCCGUAUGGUUUGCGCUACACUGCUAAAGUUCUGCGAGACUCCCUGCAUGAGAAGUUUCCUCAAAUCAGUGAGGAGGAGUUGUACAAGAUUGUAGGUAACCUGGUAUAUUACCGCUACAUGAACCCUGCUGUGGUGGCUCCUGAUGGGUUUGAUGUGGUGGAGUUUGGGGUUGGGUCCGUUCUUGUGCCUGAUCAGAGACGAACUCUUGGUUCUAUUGCCCGAAUUCUGCAACACAGUGCAGCACACAAGCCCUUCCACGGGGACUCUGCACACCUGCGUGCCCUGAAUGACUACAUCACACACAUGCAUGGCAAAUUCAGGAAGUUCCUGAAAAUGGUUUGUGACGUUCCUGAGCCUGAGGAGCGCUUUAACAUUGAUGAAUAUUCCGAGAUGGUCAUCCUCAACAAACCCGUUAUCUACAUCUCUAUUAGCGAGCUCAUUAACACACACAAGCUGCUGCUGGAGCACAAUGAUUCACUGUGUCCAGACCAGAAUGAUGCGCUCCAUCUCCUGCUAAGGGACCUUGGCAAAGUGCCUUCUGUCCAAGCCCUCGUUGGAGAGGGGGUUAUUAACUCUGCAGACCCAAACCUGGAGCAGACUUUGGCUCAGUACAAUAAGAUGGAGGUAUCACUCACGCUUACUAACAAUUUUGAUAUCUUCAAAAGCUCUGAUGAGAAACCUGAUGCCCGAGGCAUUCUGCUUAGCACUAAGCAGCUGAUAAUUGAUGUGAUAAGAACUCAGCCUGGAGAUACACUGAGUGAGGUUCUCCGAUCUUCUAUCUCUCAGGAUCAGGAGAUGCAGCACGGCUGGAUGAUGCAUCGCAGGGCGCAGCGAGAUGCCCGUACCCCGGAGAAGAUGAAGAGGAAUCAGUCUCUGAUUGCUGACAGCAACCUGACGCUGGAGGAGAAGAAGCGGAAGAUCCAGCGCAGCCUGAGGAGGCUGGAGGCUCUGGGAGUGCUUACUCCACCAGAUUCUGAGACUCAGAUACUUCAGCUCAUUGCAAAGGAUAUCCGUCACCAGCGUCUGCACCGCCAAAGGCGGCAAGCUGAGCUGGUGAAGCUCAAGCACACACUGCACAGCCUGCACUGCAAGAGCUCCUUCCACUCAGAACAGAUUGACUACUACAGCCAGUACAUAUCCACCUGCUUGCAAAACCUCACCGCCAGUCAGAAAAACGGGAAAAAGGCAUCAGACAGUAAGGGGAAGAAAAGCAAGCAGCUAACAUUAACCUACACCGCUGCCCGGCUCUAUGAGAAGGGAGUCCUCCUGGAGAUAGAGGAUCUGCCUAUCACACAGUUCAAGAAUGUGAUCUUUGACAUCAUACCCAGCGAGGAGGGAGGCACUUUCCUGGUUAAGGCUCGGUUUUUGGGAGUGGACAUGGAACGAUUUCCCUUGAAAUAUCAGGACUUGCUGCAGCUCCAGUAUGAAGGAGUCGCUGUGAUGAAGAUGUUUGAUAAGGCCAAAGUCAAUGUCAACCUUCUCAUCUUCCUCCUUAACAAGAAAUUCUUCAAGAAGUGAUAUGGACCAAUGAUGGUCAGGUUCGAUUAUUAUAUACACAUAACACUCCAAAAUUCAGAGUUUUAUUUAAUAAAACACCACCAAUUGGACAUAUGCACUUUAUUAGAUAUUUGAAAAUAAGCACGGAAAUAAUAAAAAGAAAUUACUGGAAAAACCUAGUGAGUUUGGGAAAUUAUUAUAACCAAAUGUGUCAGUGUAGGCAAAUAUUACUUACUGGGGGGUUUUUGAGAAUCUCUCUACAUACUAUAUUCUCUUUGUUGAGCAGCAUUUUGUCUUUUUACAACCAUGUACUUGCGUAUUGAUAUUUCAUAUACUACUCGCCCAUUUUAUAUUUCAGAGGGAGAGGGAACACAUAAAGCUUCUUUGCAUUGUAUUCUAUAAAAUGCUAUGGUUCAGGUAGCUUAUUCUUCUACUUUGGGUGGAUGUUUUUUAACAUUAAAUCUGCAAUGAUUUAAUCAUUAUAUCUGUCAGCCAGCUAUGUUUUAAUAAGUGUUCUACUGUAUCAAAGGGCAAUAUGUUCUUACUAUUUAUUCCUAAUCUGUAUUUGAUCUUAUGUUUGUCUGUGUUGUCUGCAUAUGUAUAUCACCACAUCCUCUUUCCUGUGCCUGCCAUUUACUGCAUUAUUAAGCGUGUGCACUUGAAUAGAGCACUCCAUCUGAGCAUUACCCAGUACAGCAGUAUUGGGAUUAUCCCACUAGUCAAAAGCUGUACUCCAAAACCACACACACACACACACACACACACACACACACACACACACACACACACACACACACACACACACACACACACACACACUUUCACAUAUCCUGCCACGUCUCCUCGUCCUUGUUGCAUGCAGUGCCUGUCAGUCUGCUUACCAGCUACUCUUUCUGUGUAACACAAUCAGUGACUGUAUGUGGUGAAUUUCACCAAUAAACUGCAGUCACUUUCUGCAAGUAUGCAAUUCCUUCUCAACAAUGCUUAACCCCUACAGUCUUCGUCACUCAGAAUAUGUGUGGACGUUUUGUACAUUAAUGCACUUUCCGGUGAGAAUGUGUUUUUCAUUUUGCUGUUAAAAUCUCUAAUUUGUCGAGGGUAGUGGCACCAUAGAGCGAGAGAGAGAAGCUCUUGGUUGGAUGAAGGAAUUGAAUUGAAAUGGACAGGUUUUUUUUUCUUCGUCUGAAAGCAACUGUGUUUUUAAGAAGAUGGGAUUUAAAUGAAGAAUUAUAUGACUAUGUGGAGAGCUUUGAUUUUGGCUGCAUUUAACUGAUUGCAAUACCUACUCCCCAUUACUCCCCAUCUCCUAAAUACCUUUUCUGUGAGGUUUUUCUGUGCAAACAUCCUUCAGUGGCUUUUUAGGUCUUUUGUUGUUUGGUUCUUUCCCCAACUAAGACAAGCCUGUGGGUGAGCUAUAUCACAUUAAGCAUUCAGCCCUGUGAAGUCACAUUUACUAACCCCUUUUCGAAUCCCAUACAUGCACAUGCUUUGCAAAAGAUCACGUGGUGGUGUAUCAUUUAUUUUUUGGUGCUCUACCUGAAUUAGUCUUUUUUUUUCUCUUCUCAUCAAAUGGGAAAUGAUCAGAAUGACUUUUAUGACAGUCCACUUUUGACUUUAAACAUAUAAGGUACUUAUAGUGCGAAGUAUUGAAGUUUAAAGGUGCUGUUUGUCAGAUUUUCUUCUGUUCAUCAUACUGAGCUGAAGAACUUCUCAUACACUGCCCCUUUAAGUGAACAGUGCAAUAUUGGGCAAGAAGUGUUUUUUCCUUUCUUUUUUCUUUUUUUUGUAAUGAAGUGACUGAAAAUGAAAGGUCCUGCACCACAAUGGAUAAUAUCUGUUCCGCAUUUCUCUAUUAAACAUGUAUCUUUGUUUAUUCAUCUUUUGUAAAAUAUGUACAGUAUAGUAUGUUCCCUUUUUUAUUUCAUUAUACCAUGUGCCCCAAUGUGUGUCUGUUGUUUAAAAAAAAUCUUCAUAUCUGUAAAGCUGAUUUUUAAAAAAGAAUUUCUUAUGAAAUACCUGUAAAAAUUCUUUUAGAAAUUUAAGCCAUUUUCCCUCCUUGUUUCAUUUGCUUCCUUUCUCUUACUUUACUUGAAAGCUGGUCAAGGUUUUAUGAAUAUUAAGCUUAUAACAAGUAUUACAAAUACUUAUUUGCAUGAGGAGAUGUAUUCUUAAUAAUGUAUUGUAAAUAUGCCUUUAGCUUUUGGAGGCUGAAAACAUGAAACAAUGCAUUUGUAUAUUGUAUAGGACAAAAACAAAAGCCAUUGAUAUUGUGAGUGUCAUUUUGUCAUGUGUUCCCUGUGUAGUGCUACACAAAAUGUAUGAAAUUACAAUUUUCUUUCAGUUCAUUCUUAAAUAUGUUUUUGUCCCCUCUGUAUCAGUUGUGCUCUGUGCUUCAUCUGUCUAAAACCUACUAUUAGGAGACUUACUUGGCCACAGUAUUUCACUUAAUUGUCUGUGUUAAAGUUUGAAAUUAACACACAACACUUUGUACAUUAGUGCUAGAUUUGAGAAAGCUCAGACAACUCAGUGAAAUGUUGUUGCCUUUGGCAAUCAUUUCUUUAAUGUCGGUCCUCUGAAAAUGGCCAUUUAUGAUCCCAGGGCUGCUCUUGCUCUUCUCUUUCUUUGCUGUUAUUUGUUGGUAUAAGUGCAACAUGCUGUAUUUGCUAUUGAAUGCUAAGCCGAAUGUGGAAACUGAACAGAAGGAAGAAAAAAAAAAUGUUUUCUUGCAGGCCAAAUGUUGCUCCAUAUAAUUUCAGUAAAUAAGCUUACAAUAAAAAAAUGAAGAAAUUA
Silurus meridionalis is the source of this 8032-nucleotide RNA transcript. It is a transcript of the gene named IQ motif containing GTPase activating protein 3, with no coding region annotated. Lineage: Eukaryota; Metazoa; Chordata; Actinopteri; Siluriformes; Siluridae. The transcript is spliced from 39 exons. The record is from RefSeq and is a predicted model, not a curated record.